UAAUUACAUUUGUACCUUCGGCUUGACAGAAGGAAAAAAAUCCAAGUGUUGCACGUGAGCGAUUACAGGAUAACGUGAACAGUACGGGGGUACUGUUCAUCUAUUUAUAGGCAUAGGACGCAGCCUGUGGAGAAUUACAUGCAUGCCCUUUACAAAGGUUUACAAUAAUACAAAUUAUCAUGGGCCAGUUGGUCAUUUCAUCUUUAAGUCGGUGCAUUUGGAAAUAUGCUCCGAAGCCUUUUGAUUGAUAGCUUCGGCUUCGUGUCAAUCUUCCGAAGGUGUUUCUUCUUAUGAGACCUUCAGCGACGAAGCAGACCCUCAACAUGUAGCAAUACAAACAAACAUAGUAUAGGAAAAAUUAACAACACACCAAACAUAAGCACAAACUACAUAAUAAUGUUCUACGCAUCGUAACAAGAUCGUAGGUUCGAGAACCACUAAAUUCGGAGUUACAGUUACAGAGUUAUGAUUUUCUGAAGGUUUAAGUGUUGGAUAUAAGAGAAACUAAGUGCAUAAUUUUAACCUAGGUUUCCUAACAAACUAAGGUUACCAGAUGAUAAACAAUAUUAAUGUGAACCUAAUGCAACUGGAAUAGAUCAAAAAGGAGUUAAAAUGAAUUAAAUAUAAAUUAAAUAAGUUUCUAGAAUUAUUUUUAUACUAGAAAUCAUUAUCUCUGAUUUAUUUUACUUAAUUUAAAUAGUCUCGGACUGUGGCCACUAUUUCCUAAAAUUACAGGGAUUACUUUGUAAAUUUCACGACCUAAGCGCAUUGAUCUUUCAAUACGAGGACGGCAGGUUUAUUUAUCAAAAACUCGAAGACUCUUUUGAAGUUUUACCACGCCGAAGGGGUAUCCACACGCAUUAGCCGUUGGAUCCGUAUCUGAUAGCUGUGAUUAAAUCGGUCCACAUAACGAACCGGUACGUGAUUCUAGCCCACGGAUAAAAAAUCUGCGACCCAGAUCCUAUUUAAGCGAAGGGGCAUCACCUUCAAAUCUAAGCCAUGCAUCACCCAUCAAACGGACUAGACCUGAACAUCGAAAGGGUAACUCAGAGAUCAAAACUUGGCCCUUAAUCAAACAAUGAACGGCCUAGGCAUGACUUCCCCCCUCGGUGCCAAGCAGAGGUGGCGCUGAGCUCCCCAUGGCGGAGAGCUCGCCGGCGUGGGGUACUCCGAUCCUCCGGAGCUCCAAAAUCGAAUCUAACAGGUUCUACACGGAGGUGGGAUCCCAACAAAUGAUCUAGGGUUUACAUACCGAUUGUGAAGAUGAUGAUGUUCUCCGGCCACGGCGCGGGAGGUCCGACGACGGCGGAUGAACUCCGAUGCAAAUUUCAUUGCUACCCCACCCCUUGUACCGCACGGAGAGGACACAGACACCAUCCUUGUGCAACCGCGAAUGUCCCAGGCCGAACAUCGCGGGCUCGUCCACGUUGUACCCAUGAUUUUACCACGGCGGCAGCCAAAUCCCUCUCCUUGUAGCUCGUUGGUGGUUACAAUCUCGGCCAGAGAUUGCUUCCAAGGCCAAGACACGGCUAGAGGGGUAGCGUUGGCUAGUAUAUAAGGCCCUGGGGCGCCCAGGAGCCAACGAUCCAAG
Molecule: long non-coding RNA, 1591 nt
Filed under: Zea mays
Lineage: Eukaryota; Viridiplantae; Streptophyta; Magnoliopsida; Poales; Poaceae
Description: long non-coding RNA (ZMAY_LNC000841)
Source: RNAcentral